Molecule: small RNA, 2516 nt
Filed under: Rattus norvegicus (Norway rat)
Lineage: Eukaryota; Metazoa; Chordata; Mammalia; Rodentia; Muridae
Description: uncharacterized LOC108351039
Source: RNAcentral
AGGAAGAUAAUGAGGGGCAAAAUCAUCCCUUCAUUGAGCACUCCCUUUGAUCUGAGAAGGGAUUUCACAUUUGUCCUUGUCCAGCAGUCGGGAGCUCUGUACUCUUGUCUGUCCCAUGCCAGCCUGCUGCUGUCCUGUGGCCAAGGCCAGCAAAGCCCCUUCUUCCUGAAAGCCUCGUCUGCCUGCCUGAGGGGGCUGGGCUGGACCAGGGUCAUCGUGCUGUUUUCCUGUCCCUGCAGCCCAGAGCCUGGGGCUGUAGAAGAUGCUCAGGAGGUGACUAGGGGAGCCAGCUCAGGAUCAGGAGGGUCAACAGUCUGUGUAUGGCAGACACUAACACUGCAGGAGGUAAAGUAGGGGCACCUGUGAACACCCUACUGUCAACCCGUCAACCGCAUCAACCAGGAAUGGCCAGCUCAUCAUUUCCCUACUGGCCUUUCUCUUGUGCUUCACUUCAUCUACACAUGCUAAGGAUGCCCACAAGUUCCUGGGACAGCUUCUAGUCUCUUCUUUUUCCAGUCACAAAGUCUUUGGGGCUAGACCUCCAACAAUGUCUCUAACUGUGACUGGAUUGGCUUAGCCUGAUUCCCAUGCAGCCCCAUCACCGUGUCAUCUGGUCUGCUGGGGUCCUCUGCAGGGGUGCUCUCAGCCCAGACUGUUAUCAACCAGCUCGAUCACUUUACUUCCGAGAUAGUGACGGUGAUGGUGGAAUAGGAACAGCUGGGUGGCAUCAGUGGGGCUGGGGGUGGGGUGGUGGUGGGAGACAGGGAACUGUCUCUCUGUGUAGCAGCAGGGUGACCCAGUAAGUGACCUGAUGGAAGUGGCAACCAGAGUGACUGUGAUUAGCCUGGAAGAUGUGUCUAAGGAAUCACUCCGUUCUCUAUUCCGGCUUCAAGAACGAGCAUCAGGGAGGACCAGAGCAAACAGGAGACCUGGAGACCUGGCGGGAGGUGGGACGUGUGAGCGCCUGAGGAGGCUGACCCAGAACUGUUGCUUGUAGUGCUGCUGGCCAGGAGGGAGGUCCGAUCAACGAGGCAGCUAUUUAAAGAUCUGGCAGAAGAUCCUGGUUCAGAUCUCCAGAGCAGCAUCUGAUGCCGCAGGCCAGGCUGCCCAGUAGGCUCAAAUUAAACGGACCUAGGCAACAAAGCAUCCAUCUUCCCUUUCUUGGACCCUGGCUGUGGGGACCCAGAGGUGUUGCUUCUGCAGACCCCAACGCUGGAAUCUUUUCUAGGCGCUUUUAACAUGCAAAUGGCUCUAGGAAGCAAUAUUAAUUCAAGACUUCUGAAUAGCUGGGAACCAGGGGGAGGGGAAGAGCUGUCGGAGUGGUGCCAGCUUCCUCCAACACAGGGGCAAAGGAUCCAGAAGCACCUCUGGGGUUCCCACCUUCAGCCGCUUCCCCCAAGGAACCAGGUUUUGUAGCACUACUUUGCUUGGAAGCUCCUGAAGGAAUCCUCUCUCGCCCUACUGGAGGACUUGGAACCAAUGUGGUGUCCGUUGUACACAGUUUAUUAGUCUACCACAGCUUCCAUAAGGCUUUAUCGUUGAGCUUUUACCGCUUUUCUGCCUAACCAACCCAGAGAGAACUGGUGCUGGAUGAGGCUACCUGGUUUCUCCUAGAGGAAGCCAGCUGAAGUAAGGAACCCCAAGUCCUCGUGCAUUCCCUAAGGAGGACCAACUGCACAGACCCAGUAGCUUACUCCUUAACCAGCUCUUUGAUCACCUUCCUUCGAUGGGUCCUUCCUGCCCUCUAGGUCUGUUCAAAACUCCUAAUACCUAAAUGGAACACAGACCUGAUCUCUUCCCUUACCCUCCUGAGCACCUUGCAGAACUUGUAAGCAAUCUUUUUUUCCUUUUUCUAAAGGUUUCGUUAACCUGCUUCUGCCUUUGGGAUUAAAGGCUUGUUCUGCCAUGCCAAGCUCAACUGCUUAUUAAAUGAGGCCGUGAAUGCCGUCUGUCCCUUUCAGGACCUCUUCUGCUUUAAAAGUAGCUUUCCUCUCAGUAGUUACUUUCUUUAAAAAUUGCAUGUAUUAUGAACCUGUGUGGCGGUGUCAAGAUGUACUUAGGGAGAGCAAAAGGGCAACUUGAAGGAGCACAUUCUCUCUACCAUGUAGACCAGGCUGACCUCAGACUAAAGAGCCUUCUGCCUUUUCCUUCAGUGCUGGGAUUAAGGGAUGGAGGCCCUCAACCCCACCCUCUUGAGUCAGGGUUCCUGUUCAUAAAUCUAGCUGAUGUUGCCCCAGUCUUGAACUCACAGCAACCAUGCUUUAGCCUUUCUGUGCUGGGAUUAUAGCUGUGUACACCUUAUCGAAACUUCUAAAGAAUCUGUCAGGGUCCUGAACUUGUGGCAGGUAGGAUGCAGGACAAUACCAGGCCACUUUGCAGAUCCAGAAACAUCAAAUAAUUUGAUUAGCUGAGAUACAAGUAAGGCAAUAGACUAUUUAAUGUGGUGUAAAAUACAUCAAUAUCAAGUCCCUGGCUGUUGUGAAUACCAAAAGUAGACUGGGAAGGGGAGAGAGGGG